CUCGUAGGCGGCCAACUAAGUCAGACGUGAAAUCCCUCGGCUUAACCGGGGAACUGCGUCUGAUACUGGAUGGCUUGAGUUUGGGAGAGGGAUGCGGAAUUCCAGGUGUAGCGGUGAAAUGCGUAGAUAUCUGGAGGAACACCGGUGGCGAAGGCGGCAUCCUGGACCAACACUGACGCUGAGUGAGAAGACACGGAGGGCAAACGGGA
Molecule: ribosomal RNA, 209 nt
Filed under: uncultured bacterium
Lineage: Bacteria
Description: partial 16S ribosomal RNA
Rfam family: Bacterial small subunit ribosomal RNA
Source: RNAcentral